Molecule: unclassified non-coding RNA, 144 nt
Filed under: uncultured Leotiomycetes
Lineage: Eukaryota; Fungi; Ascomycota; Leotiomycetes
Description: sequence contains ITS2
Source: RNAcentral
CAACCCUCAAGCUCUGCUUGGUAUUGGGCUUCACCAUCUGGUGGGCUUUAAAAUCAGUGGCGGUGCCAUCUGGCUUCAAGUGUAGUAAUUUUUCUCACUUCUGGAGUUUAGAUGGUCACUUGCCAAUAACCCCUAAUUUUUUAA